AGUGAACGCUGGCGGUAGGCCUAACACAUGCAAGUCGAACGGCAGCACAGUAAGAGCUUGCUCUUACGGGUGGCGAGUGGCGGACGGGUGAGGAAUACAUCGGAAUCUACUUUUUCGUGGGGGAUAACGUAGGGAAACUUACGCUAAUACCGCAUACGACCUACGGGUGAAAGCAGGGGAUCUUCGGACCUUGCGCGAUUGAAUGAGCCGAUGUCGGAUUAGCUAGUUGGCGGGGUAAGGGCCCACCAAGGCGACGAUCCGUAGCUGGUCUGAGAGGAUGAUCAGCCACACUGGAACUGAGACACGGUCCAGACUCCUACGGGAGGCAGCAGUGGGGAAUAUUGGGCAAUGGGCGAAAGCCUGAUCCAGCAAUACCGCGUGGGUGAAGAAGGCCUUCGGGUUGUAAAGCCCUUUUGUUGGGAAAGAAAAGCAGCAGGUUAAUACCCCGCUGUUCUGACGGUACCCAAAGAAUAAGCACCGGCUAACUUCGUG
RNAcentral lists this ribosomal RNA (492 nucleotides) under uncultured bacterium. RNAcentral describes it as "partial 16S ribosomal RNA". It matches the Rfam family "Bacterial small subunit ribosomal RNA", at positions 29 to 507 of the family's 1533-position model. The record is from RNAcentral.